GGGCACGUAGUUCAGCGGUAGAACGCUUCACUGAUAAUGAAGAAGUGGAAGGUUCGACUCCUUCCGUGCCCACCC
This 75-nucleotide transfer RNA is filed under the name Candidatus Nealsonbacteria bacterium RIFCSPHIGHO2_01_FULL_43_31. Its description in RNAcentral is "tRNA-Ile". It matches the Rfam family "tRNA". Rfam says of the family: Transfer RNA (tRNA) molecules are approximately 80 nucleotides in length. Their secondary structure includes four short double-helical elements and three loops (D, anti-codon, and T loops). The record is from RNAcentral. Lineage: Bacteria; Candidatus Nealsoniibacteriota. RNAcentral also lists the same sequence under 2 other names.